Molecule: ribosomal RNA, 500 nt
Filed under: uncultured fungus
Lineage: Eukaryota; Fungi
Description: SSU rRNA
Rfam family: Eukaryotic small subunit ribosomal RNA
Source: RNAcentral
CUUGCGCCGGACGAUGGUUCAUUCAAAUUUCUGCCCUAUCAACUUUCGCAUGGUCAGGAUCAGUGGCCUCACCAUGGUAUCAACAGGGUAACGGGGAACUUACGGGUUCUACUUCCGGAGAACGGGAGCCUGAGAAACGGAUACACAUCCAAGGAAGGCAGCAGGCGCGCAAAUUACCCAAUCCCGACACGGGGAGGUAGUGACAAUAAAUACUGAUACAGGGCUCUUUUGGGUCUUGUCAAUUGGAAUGAGUACAAUUUAAAUCCCUUAACGAGGAACAAUUGGAGGGCAAGUCUGGUGCCAGCAGCCGCGGUAAUUCCAGCUCCAAUAGCGUAUAUUAAAGUUGUAUGCAGUUAAAAAGCUCGUAGUUGAACCUUGGGCUGGCUGGCCGGUCCGACUCACCGGUGCACUGGUCCGGCCGGGCCUUUCCUUCUGGGGAGCCGAUGCCCUUUCACUGGGUGUGUCGGGGAACCAGGGACUUUUACUUUGAAAAAAAUUAG